CUCAGGCAAGCUCCUAGGAAGCAACUUGUGAGCUGGGAUUUUCUGCCAAUGCCCAAGUGUCCAUCUGGAACUGUAGCAAAUUUCCUUGUACCAGCACAAUGAGGCAUUUAAGCACUUAUGAAGACAUACAAGAAAAUCCAUAUGUGGAAUUAACUGAUCUGAGUAAAGAGACAAUGUUUAAAUGCAGGUUGCUUUUUGCUUGGAUCUUAGUUCAUUCUCUCCGUGUUCCCGAUGGUCCUCUCCACCCGGCUCUUUCCUGUACUUGAUACAUCACCAGAAAAGACUUUCCUGCACCUGCCCAUUUCCUUCCGAGUAAAACAGCUCUUUACAGUU
Molecule: long non-coding RNA, 333 nt
Organism: Suricata suricatta (meerkat)
Lineage: Eukaryota; Metazoa; Chordata; Mammalia; Carnivora; Herpestidae
Exons: 3
Source: RefSeq, a predicted model, not a curated record